Pelobates cultripes (western spadefoot toad) is the source of this 359-nucleotide non-coding RNA. The record is from the annotation of a GenBank genome assembly. NCBI's taxonomy places the organism in Eukaryota, Metazoa, Chordata, Amphibia, Anura, Pelobatidae.
ACCCAUAGGUUGAGGAGGUGGUGACCGUGGCAGUGGAGGAGGAGGAUGAGGUAGCCAACACUGUUUUUAUAUAUAUAUUUUAAUUGGGGUAGCCCCCAAAAUAUUGGGACAUAUAAAAAAAGACAACUCUGUUCCACAGAGUAGCUGUUGACAUUAUAGUUGCGCAGGAACUUUGUUGACUCUAGAGAACCUAGGGCAAAUCGCACAUCCCCGUGGCGGCGACUUUGCAUGCGGAUGUCAUCCAUAUCAACUUUUGAUGCCAGUUUCUGCAUCUACCAUGGUGACCACGGGUAACGGAGAAUCAGGGUUCCAUUCUGUACAGGGACCCUGAGAAACGGCUACAACAUGCAAGGAAGGCA